This 497-nucleotide ribosomal RNA is filed under the name uncultured bacterium. Its description in RNAcentral is "partial 16S ribosomal RNA". It matches the Rfam family "Bacterial small subunit ribosomal RNA", at positions 28 to 507 of the family's 1533-position model. The record is from RNAcentral.
GAUGAACGCUGGCGGCGUGCCUAAUACAUGCAAGUCGAGCGAACGGACGAGAAGCUUGCUUCUCUGAUGUUAGCGGCGGACGGGUGAGUAACACGUGGAUAACCUACCUAUAAGACUGGGAUAACUUCGGGAAACCGGAGCUAAUACCGGAUAAUAUUUUGAACCGCAUGGUUCAAAAGUGAAAGACGGUCUUGCUGUCACUUAUAGAUGGAUCCGCGCUGCAUUAGCUGGUUGGUAAGGUAACGGCUUACCAAGGCAACGAUGCAUAGCCGACCUGAGAGGGUGAUCGGCCACACUGGAACUGAGACACGGUCCAGACUCCUACGGGAGGCAGCAGUAGGAAAUCUUCCGCAAUGGGCGAAAGCCUGACGGAGCAACGCCGCGUGAGUGAUGAAGGUCUUCGGAUCGUAAAACUCUGUUAUUAGGGAAGAACAUAUGUGUAAGUAACUGUGCACAUCUUGACGGUACCUAAUCAGAAAGCCACGGCUAACUACGUG